UCGAACGUAGUUAUCACACGUGAAGGAAUUCAAUGCUGAAGGAAAAACGGUGAUGAUUUUCGACUUCAUAGUAGACUGUGAGAAUCUGAAACAAAAGGUUAAUGGUUAACGACUGCGAUACGAUGCGCUCUCGUGACGAGUCACGGAACUACGGAAAGGAUGAGAACUAGAAAAGAAAUGUAAGCACAUCGCGAGUGAAAGAAAACUGAGUGUUCUGUUUGUGAUUCGAAGGGGGGAGUUGUUGGCUCGACUGGGCAACCAAGUGUUCCGAACAAUGCAUCCUCAAAACCAUAAUUAACCUGAUGAAUGCAGUGAGGUGAACGAAUACAACAAAUUCUGGUACAAAAGCAAAUGAAAAUGUUGUUCAUGUUGAAGAAGAAUAUCAACAUUGUGCGACUCAUGAAACACCGUAAUUUUUCCAUACAAAAUCUUUCUGCUGCGAGUGCUCUACAUUUUAAAAUCAAACGAACAACUUUGUGUCUCCGCUGGCUCCUUCGUUGGAAGAGUCCAUAAAGAUCGAGAAAAACGUCGUUAAAACCAGAAAAUUCACUUACCAUAUUAAACCAUAUGAAAAAACCUUUUGAUUAGCACAAUUGUUGAUACGGUAAAAUAAUGAAAAAAAGAGGUUAUGAAUAAUUUACAAAAUCUGGAUCACUUCGAUUACUGAGAGGAUUGAAAGUUGAAAGUGACAGUCAAGAAAAUAGAAACAAAGGUCAACCUCUCGGAUGAGUGUAAAUUUUGACAGUGCAUGUACAAGCUUUCACGAAAUCAAAAUGAAACAAAAAUUGCAGGAGGAAAUUUUGUUACAUUCCUACAAAUAUUGUGCACUUUACAUCUGAAAUUUCUAAAAUUUCGAAUUUUUUCUACAUCACAGAACAUUCUUUCUCAAUUUUAUGAAAAUUUGAACUUGGAACAAUGAACAUUUAGGUUAUCUUCAGUUUCCACUGCCAUAACCCUAAUUUUGACCUUCCAAUUCUUGUCACGUUUAUGAAUUUUAUAACUCUAACGAUAAGCCCUGAGCCUGAAGCUCGCAAAGUACAUACGAAGAGCACUAAAACUGAAAAAUUAUCGCGUUCUCGAAGAAAUGAAGAAAACAUUAAAACUUUCGAGAUUAUUACCAAGUAGGAUGAAAACUUUGAUGGAAGCAGACGAAAUCUCUGUUACGCAACGGACUUUUUCUCGUGCGUCUAUAAUUUUCUCAGUGCACCCGAAUCGAUCCGAUCAGAAUCCAAACAUUCUAAGCGAGCUUGAAAAAGUAUAAUAGAAUAGAAUAAUUUGUUUGCAUUCGGGAACGUGUCCAUUUUUGAGUGUUGCUCAUAACUGUCACUGACAUGCGAAAAUCAUCGGAAGAAACAAUCGGAAACAAUUGAAAAGACGGUCGAUUGGUUGACCCCACCGCUCGUCAAACCAAAAGAGGAAAAGACGCGUGUGAUUCCUGAGAGACUCUGAGACAAAGCGGAAGUCACGAACGCUCGUGCUGCGUAGGAAAACGCAAAUUGGUGCUCGCACACAAAUGUAUUCGUAUGAACGUACACUCGAGGCAUACACAGCGCGGAAAAGAGAGUAUUCAGCUCCCUGCGACGAUUCCACGUGGCCUGAGCCGAGCCUCAUUCAGCUCCACGAAGGCUUUCGAAAUCCACGGAUUUCCGAAUUUCAAACUUCAAAGUUCCUGGAUCAACGGUGCUUCCAAAGUUUGACGAAUACCGCCAAAAAGCCUGGCGAUUUUUACUACAUCCACGCUCUUCGCUCGCUCGAAUGCUCCUUGCCCAUUCGAGCCCCGAGUUUAUCCGACACUUCGAGUUCCAUUGAUUGAAACUAACCGAUUGUUAUUCUGCGCCACAACGAAUUGAAAAACGUCACGCUCACGGGACCAAGAACUGGAGAAACAAUGAUAAAAAAGCAAAUUUCAAAAGACGAAACUUACUUUAGAAUAAUAAUUUUAUUAUUUUAGAAAUACAAUCGAUAGAGAAGCAACAUUUUUGUACAAGUAGUAAUACUAAUGAGUUUUAUUUGCACGACCUUUGUGGCCUUUUACUAAAUUUACGUCGGUUACAUGCAUCCUUAAUGAUACAAUAAUUACAGUACUUUUCUUCUCUUUUUUAUUACAUUCUUUUUCUACAUAUUAAUUCUAUUUCUCUAAAAAACUGACACAGUUGCGCAUUCAUUUAUCCUCUCAGCGUCUUUAUCAACUCUUCCCUGGUACCCCUCCCAUCUUUAGCCUCUUUUGUCCAUGCCUUCCAUAUAUUCAUUCGUUUCCUCUGUUAUUGACUGUCUUCCUUUUUCGCAAAUGAUCAGAUCUUCCAGUAUUUAAUUUUCAUGCCUGCACGUCCUUUCUUUCCACCUUUGCCAAUAUUUCCACCCUUAUCUUUGCCCACAUUUCUUUAUCUUUCUUUAUCUUUAUACUUGCGAGGUUUUUUUUUUCAUUUUCAAUUAUUUCUUUAUACACACUGCUGUAUACGUCGAAUUUGAUUUAUACAAUUUUAUUAUUGAAAAAACGUUUGAAGACUGCCGCUGCUGUCGAUGUCACGCUGUCAGUUUUGUUUACAAAUUUUAUAGCUUAUGAAGCGAGUUUACUGUCCAAACUAGUAUUGCAGUGGAUAAAAAUGGUCGUUUUGUAAAAACUGACAAAACAUGAUCAAAAGGUCGAACUGCGAGGUCACGUGUGAACAUAUAUUGAACGCAGCGUUGCCAAACGUUCAAAUUUUUCCAAAUCUAAAAAAAAGUCAUUGGAACAAGGAAAUGUGGCAAUGAAAUGUAUGAUCAUCACUAAACAUCAU
Molecule: long non-coding RNA, 2777 nt
Organism: Venturia canescens
Lineage: Eukaryota; Metazoa; Arthropoda; Insecta; Hymenoptera; Ichneumonidae
Exons: 3
Source: RefSeq, a predicted model, not a curated record